RNAcentral lists this transfer RNA (76 nucleotides) under Paenibacillus albidus. RNAcentral describes it as "tRNA-Gln". The record is from RNAcentral. Lineage: Bacteria; Bacillati; Bacillota; Bacilli; Caryophanales; Paenibacillaceae.
GCAGAAUCGGGAUGGUGUUCCAAUCCUUUGCGCUUUGGCCGCAUAUGAAUGUUACGGAGCAUAUCCGUUUUCCGAU